UACGUAGGGUGCAGGCGUUAAUCGGAAUUACUGGGCGUAAAGCGUGCGCAGGCGGUUUGCUAAGACAGGUGUGAAAUCCCCGGGCUUAACCUGGGAACUGCGCUUGUAACUGGCAAGCUAGAGUGUGGCAGAGGGGGGUGGAAUUCCACGUGUAGCAGUGAAAUGCGUAGAGAUGUGGAGGAACACCGAUGGCGAAGGCAGCCCCCUGGGCUAACACUGACGCCCAUGCACGAAAGCGUGGGGAACAAACAGG
This 253-nucleotide ribosomal RNA is filed under the name uncultured bacterium. Its description in RNAcentral is "partial 16S ribosomal RNA". It matches the Rfam family "Bacterial small subunit ribosomal RNA", at positions 524 to 776 of the family's 1533-position model. The record is from RNAcentral.